GCCCUUGUAGCUCAGCUGGUAGAGCAGCGGUUUUGUAAACCGAAGGUCGCGGGUUCGAUCCCUGCCGGGGCACCA
This 75-nucleotide transfer RNA is filed under the name Mesorhizobium sp. M2A.F.Ca.ET.043.05.1.1. RNAcentral describes it as "tRNA-Thr". It matches the Rfam family "tRNA". From Rfam's summary of the family: Transfer RNA (tRNA) molecules are approximately 80 nucleotides in length. Their secondary structure includes four short double-helical elements and three loops (D, anti-codon, and T loops). Lineage: Bacteria; Pseudomonadati; Pseudomonadota; Alphaproteobacteria; Hyphomicrobiales; Phyllobacteriaceae. The record is from RNAcentral.